GAGGCCUGAGAAAAACCUGUCCCACAGGCCAAAGAAAGAAAAGGUUGCAAGGGCAGGGAGUGAACACGGUUGGGAGGCCCAGGGAGAAGAGGGCUAAAACUUAACAUGGAGUUUGCAGCAGGAACUCUCUGGUGAUCUAAAAGAGACUGGAGUGGGAGGAUAAAAGCCUGUUUGGAUGAUCUCAAGAGGAAAUGAAAGAACAGUGAGCUAAGUCAGAAAGAAGAGUCAAAAGAGUGUGUCUAACCAGAAAGCAGCAUAAGGGCUUUGGAUGCUUAGCCAGGCUCUUUGACCUGCAAAGAACAGAGUCCCAUUCAGGUAAAAUGUCAUCACCUUUGGGACAUUUGGAGAACAUUGUUAGUAUCAAGUUCAAGCAGAUUCUCUGCCCUCAUACUCAAGCCAUAUCCUGGUCAUGUUACAAUAUAGUGAACCUUCUGUGUGACCCAUGACUUUGUUCUGUUUGGUUUUUCCAGAAAUUUCUAAUUGCCUUUUAUUUUUCUUAUUGAAACAUUAAUAAAGAGCUUAAGUGUC
Molecule: long non-coding RNA, 528 nt
Organism: Marmota monax (woodchuck)
Lineage: Eukaryota; Metazoa; Chordata; Mammalia; Rodentia; Sciuridae
Exons: 3
Source: RefSeq, a predicted model, not a curated record